GAUGAACGCUGGCGGCGUGCCUAAUACAUGCAAGUCGAGCGAACAGACGAGGAGCUUGCUCCUCUGACGUUAGCGGCGGACGGGUGAGUAACACGUGGAUAACCUACCUAUAAGACUGGGAUAACUUCGGGAAACCGGAGCUAAUACCGGAUAAUAUAUUGAACCGCAUGGUUCAAUAGUGAAAGACGGUUUUGCUGUCACAUAUAGAUGGAUCCGCGCCGCAUUAGCUAGUUGGUAAGGUAACGGCUUACCAAGGCAACGAUGCGUAGCCGACCUGAGAGGGUGAUCGGCCACACUGGAACUGAGACACGGUCCAGACUCCUACGGGAGGCAGCAGUAGGGAAUCUUCCGCAAUGGGCGAAAGCUUGACGGAGCAACGCCGCGUGAGUGAUGAAGGUCUUCGGAUCGUAAAACUCUGUUAUUAGGGAAGAACAAAUGUGUAAGUAACUAUGCACGUCUUGACGGUACCUAAUCAGAAAGCCACGGCUAACUACGUG
Molecule: ribosomal RNA, 497 nt
Filed under: uncultured bacterium
Lineage: Bacteria
Description: partial 16S ribosomal RNA
Rfam family: Bacterial small subunit ribosomal RNA
Source: RNAcentral